This 253-nucleotide ribosomal RNA is filed under the name uncultured bacterium. RNAcentral describes it as "partial 16S ribosomal RNA". It matches the Rfam family "Bacterial small subunit ribosomal RNA", at positions 524 to 776 of the family's 1533-position model. The record is from RNAcentral.
CAGGAACCGUCCAAACGUUAUUCGGAAUCAUUGGGCUUAAAGGGUGCGUAGGCGGCGCCUUAAGUCGGGUGUGAAAUCCCUCGGCUCAACCGAGGAAUUGCGCCCGAUACUGGGGUGCUCGAGGGAGACAGGGGUGAGCGGAACUGAUGGUGGAGCGGUGAAAUGCGUUGAUAUCAUCAGGAACACCGGUGGCGAAAGCGGCUCACUGGGUCUCUUCUGACGCUGAGGCACGAAAGCCAGGGUAGCGAACGGG